UUGACCUCGAAUCAGGUAGGAAUACCCGCUGAACUUAAGCAUAUCAAUAAGCGGAGGAAAAGAAACCAACAGGGAUUGCCCCAGUAACGGCGAGUGAAGCGGCAACAGCUCAAAUUUGAAAUCUGGUCCCUUGGGGCCCGAGUUGUAAUUUGCAGAGGAUACUUUUGGCGAGGCGCCUUCCGAGUUCCCUGGAACGGGACGCCAUAGAGGGUGAGAGCCCCGUCUGGUUGGAUGCCGAGCCUCUGUAAAGUUCCUUCGACGAGUCGAGUAGUUUGGGAAUGCUGCUCUAAAUGGGAGGUAUAUGUCUUCUAAAGCUAAAUAUAGGCCAGAGACCGAUAGCGCACAAGUAGAGUGAUCGAAAGAUGAAAAGCACUUUGGAAAGAGGGUUAAAAAGCACGUGAAAUUGUUGAAAGGGAAGCGCUUGUGACCAGACGUGGGCCUGUCGGAUCAUCCAGCGUUCUCGCUGGUGCACUCCGGCGGGCUCAGGCCAGCAUCAGCUCGUCCCGGGGGACAAAGGCAGCGGGAAUGUGGCUCCUUCGGGAGUGUUAUAGCCCGCUGUGUAAUGCCCUGGGGCGGGCUGAGGUUCGCGCAUCUGCAU
Molecule: ribosomal RNA, 598 nt
Filed under: Claviceps microcephala
Lineage: Eukaryota; Fungi; Ascomycota; Sordariomycetes; Hypocreales; Clavicipitaceae
Also listed under: 1 other name
Description: eukaryotic LSU rRNA
Rfam family: Eukaryotic large subunit ribosomal RNA
Source: RNAcentral